ACCCGUUCUCAUUCCGAACACGGCAGUUAAGCCUUCUUGAGCCGAUGGUACUCGCAAGGGGAGAGUAGGUUGUCGCCAGCA
Molecule: ribosomal RNA, 81 nt
Filed under: Patescibacteria group bacterium
Lineage: Bacteria
Source: RNAcentral